This 254-nucleotide ribosomal RNA is filed under the name uncultured bacterium. RNAcentral describes it as "partial 16S ribosomal RNA". It matches the Rfam family "Bacterial small subunit ribosomal RNA", at positions 524 to 777 of the family's 1533-position model. The record is from RNAcentral.
UACGUAGGUGGCAAGCGUUGUCCGGAUUUACUGGGCGUAAAGAGCGCGCAGGCGGUCGUUCAAGUCGCGUGUGAAAGCCCCCGGCUCAACUGGGGAGGGUCACGCGAUACUGCUCGACUUGAAGGCAGGAGAGGGAAGUGGAAUUCCCGGUGUAGUGGUGAAAUGCGUAGAUAUCGGGAGGAACACCAGUGGCGAAGGCGACUUCCUGGCCUGUUCUUGACGCUGAGGCGCGAAAGCUAGGGUAGCAAACGGGG